This 292-nucleotide ribosomal RNA is filed under the name uncultured bacterium. RNAcentral's name for it is "partial 16S ribosomal RNA". It matches the Rfam family "Archaeal small subunit ribosomal RNA", at positions 455 to 746 of the family's 1478-position model. The record is from RNAcentral.
GUGCCAGCAGCCGCGGUAAUACCGGCAGCCCGAGUGAUGGCCGAUCUUAUUGGGCCUAAAGCGUCCGUAGCUGGCUGCGCAAGUCCGUCGGGAAAUCCACCCGCCCAACGGGUGGCCGUCCGGUGGAAACUGCACGGCUUGGGACCGGAAGGCGCGACGGGUACGUCCAGGGUAGGAGUGAAAUCCCGUAAUCCUGGACGGACCGCCGAUGGCGAAAGCACGUCGCGAGAACGGAUCCGACAGUGAGGGACGAAAGCUGGGAUCUCGAACCGGAUUAGAUACCCGUGUAUCC